CAAACCAAAGCUGGCGACCGGCGCACGGGUGAGUGACACGUAUCCAACCUGCCUCAUACUCGGGGAUAGCCUUUCGAAAGAAAGAUUAAUAUCCGAUAACAUAUAUUUCCCGCAUGGGUUUUAUAUUAAAGAAAUUCGGUAUGAGAUGGGGAUGCGUUCCAUUAGUUUGUUGGGGGGGUAACGGCCCACCAAGACUACGAUGGAUAGGGGUUCUGAGAGGAAGGUCCCCCACAUUGGAACUGAGACACGGUCCAA
Molecule: ribosomal RNA, 255 nt
Filed under: uncultured bacterium
Lineage: Bacteria
Description: partial 16S ribosomal RNA
Rfam family: Bacterial small subunit ribosomal RNA
Source: RNAcentral